This 1952-nucleotide long non-coding RNA is filed under the name Homo sapiens (human). Its description in RNAcentral is "HSALNT0223622". The record is from RNAcentral. Lineage: Eukaryota; Metazoa; Chordata; Mammalia; Primates; Hominidae.
GACCGGCCAGCCGGCGGGCGAGAGACGCGCACGCACGUGGGCACUAUUUUUGCAGCGGGCCGCGCGCAGCCCCGCACCCCGGCAGCUUAUGAAGCUCCUACGAGCCGCUCCUCGGAGCCGCCCCCCGGCCGGAUGCGGAGCACCUGUGUCGGCCCCGCCCGGGCCCUCGCCUCCGCCCCCUCGCGCCCCGCCCCUCCUAGCAGGCCGAGCCGAGGAGGGCUCCGCCGCCCACCCGGAACCCGGCGGGGACUGCCGCCGCUGCUAGCCACAGCUGCCCCCUGGGGGGCCAGAGACCUAAGCCUGAGCGCGCCAUCACCUAAGUGACCCUUGCCGAGUCACUGUCUGCCCUGGGCCUCAGUUUCCCUCUUAACGAAAGAGGGCACGAUUUACAAGCCCCUGCGAGCGGCGGCGAUCGCUUCGUCAGUAGAGCCUCGUGUCCGCGCUCCUUCUCUUCCAGUGAUCUCUCCAGGGCGAGAGCCUGCCCUGGCAUCCUUGGUCGGAACUGUAGCCCCUGGGCUCCAGGAGGCGCACUCACUUUAGACCCUCUGCUCCGUGCGCUGCAGAGGGGGCCGCGAGAGUCAGGAAGUUCCAGAAAGUUCCAAAGACAUCACUGGUCCUCUUUGGACCGGAGUUCUCCGGAGAAACCGCUUCCGGCGCUCCUGACACACUGAGAUAGAAAGUUUCACAGAAAUAGGGCAAGGGAUAGGGCGAGGGCUCCAGGGCAGGCGUCCUAGGGCACCUGGCGCAGGGGCGGACCGGAAACCCCAGGCAAACGCAGAGUCGGAGAUGGCAUUCCAGGCGGAAGAUCAAGCAAAGGCAGAGAGGGAGGACGGCACCGAGCGGCUCCCUCUGACCAGGACUGAGGAUGAUGCGACCUGAUACCGCCGGAGGGAAGCCUGGGCCCGCUGAGCAAGAUAAGAACCUGAAACCCAGAAUAGUGCCCAAGGGAGCGGGUGUCUGGAGGCCCUGUCAUAUUUCAAAACUGUCAACCAUAAGAAAAUGAAGGCAUCUUUCAAGAGACUUGGAACAGAAACUUCUGCUGCCUAAAAUCUCUCUCCCUAAACUUUCUGUUGCAGAUGAGACUGAAGCUCAAAGAAGUUAAGUAACUUGCCAAAAGACUCCCAGCUAAAAGUGUGAGAGCAAAGACUCAAACCAAGGCAGUCUUCUGGUUUCAGAGCCUGAAGUCUUAACCAGGAGGCAGAGAGCUAAAAGAAGAGAGAAGUUUGAUGGGAGAAAAUAAUUUCCUGGUUGCAAAAGAUAAGAAAAGGAAUUCACUCAGGAACUCAAGACCACAAGGUAGACACACACAGUCUCUGCUCAAGUUUUGCCAAGCUCUGUACAGAAGAAACCAUGUUCUUUGUUUUUUCAAGUUCCUUUUAAGUGGGAUAAAAAAGUGGAUUGGGGCCAGGCGCGGUGGCUCAUGCCUGUAAUCCCAGCACUUUGGGAGGCCUAGGCAGGCAGAUCAUGAGGUCAGGAGAUCGAGACCAUCCUGGCUAACAUGGUGAAACCCCGUCUCUACUAAAAAUACACACAAAAAAUUAGCUGGGCAUGGUGGUGGGCGCCUGUGGUCCCAGCUACUUGGGAGGCUGAGGCAGGAGAAUGGCAUGAACCCAGGAGGCGGAGCUUGCAGUGAUCCGAGAUCUCACCACUGCACUACAUCCUGGGUGACAGAGCGAGACUCCAUCUCAAAAAAAAAAAAAAAAGAAAGAGUGGAUUGGCCCCACCUUUCAUCGUACACAAAAGUAAGUUAAAAAUACAAUUCUGAAAAGCUUUACUUAGAAUUUUUUCAGAAGAAAAUAUAGGAGAAUUUUUUUUUACCUCAGCCCGUGGAUGAAUUUUGUAAACUUGGAAAAAUAAGAUUGGAACAAUAAGCACAGGAUAUAAAGGAAGACAAUACAUUUGACCACACUGGAAUUAAAAACUUUGGUUUACUAAAAGAGUUUGUUUGUUUG